RNAcentral lists this ribosomal RNA (253 nucleotides) under uncultured bacterium. RNAcentral describes it as "partial 16S ribosomal RNA". It matches the Rfam family "Bacterial small subunit ribosomal RNA", at positions 524 to 776 of the family's 1533-position model. The record is from RNAcentral.
UACGAGUGCCUCAAGCGUUAUCCGGAAUUAUUGGGCGUAAAGGGUGUGUAGGCGGUCUUGCUAGUCUUGUGUUAAAACCAGAAGCUCAACUUCUGAUAUGCACAGGAAACGGCAAAACUAGAGUGCGCGAGAGGUUUGCGGAACUCAUGGUGUAGGGGUGAAAUCCGUUGAUAUCAUGGGGAACACCAAAUGCGAAGGCAGCAAACUGGCGCGUCACUGACGCUGAAACACGAAAGCGUGGGUAGCGAAUGGG